UUUAUUACUGGGGCCAAGGAACCAUGGUGACCGUCUCUUCAGCAAACCCCUCAGCUCCAAACCUCUUCCCACUUGUCUCCUGUGGAAGCAUCCUGCCCGAGCAAAACACGGUGGCCAUGGGUUGCCUUGCACGUGACUUCCUGCCCAGCUCCAUCACCUUCAGCUGGAGAUACAAGAACAACACUGGCGUCAACUCCCAGAAAUGGAAGGCCUUCCCAUCCGUCAUGCAGGAGGGAACAUAUUUGGCCAGUUCUCAGUUGCUUCUUCCUUCUGAAGAUGUCCUCCAGAGCUCUGAUGAGUACCUGGUGUGUGCAGCCACACAUCCCCAAGGCAACAAGGAAGUACAGGUGGCCUAUCAAGCGCCCGUGGAAGAGAAGUCCCCCAAUGUGAAUGUGUAUGUCCCAUCCCGAGAGUCCUUCUCAGACACCAGCAAGCGGACCUCCAAGCUCAUCUGCCAGGCCACAGGCUUCAGUCCCAAGAAGAUCUCACUGUCCUGGAUCCGAGAGGGGAAGCCAGUGCAGUCUGGCAUCAACACAAAAUGGAAGGCCUUCCCAUCCGUCAUGCAGGAGGGAACAUAUUUGGCCAGUUCUCAGUUGCUUCUUCCUUCUGAAGAUGUCCUCCAGAGCUCUGAUGAGUACCUGGUGUGUGCAGCCACACAUCCCCAAGGCAACAAGGAAGUACAGGUGGCCUAUCAAGCGCCCGUGGAAGAGAAGUCCCCCAAUGUGAAUGUGUAUGUCCCAUCCCGAGAGUCCUUCUCAGACACCAGCAAGCGGACCUCCAAGCUCAUCUGCCAGGCCACAGGCUUCAGUCCCAAGAAGAUCUCACUGUCCUGGAUCCGAGAGGGGAAGCCAGUGCAGUCUGGCAUCAACACAGGCGAGGUGGAGCCGGAGCCCAAAGGGUCUGGGUCAUUAACCUACCAGAUCACCAGCACAAUGACCAUCAGCGAGAGCGACUGGCUCAGCCAGCGUGUGUUCACUUGCCACGUGAUACACAGGGGGCUGGACUUUAUGAAGAAUGUGUCCUCUGUGUGCGGACCCAGCUCACCAUCAGGCAUGCGGAUCUUCACCAUCCCCCCGUCCUUUGAGGACAUCUUCAUUACCAAGUCUGCCAAGUUGACCUGCCUAGUCACAGACCUGGCCACCUAUGACAGCCUGAGCAUCACUUGGACACGUCAGAAUGGCAAGGUUCUGAAGACCCACACCAACAUCUCUGAGAGCUAUCCCAAUGCCACCUUUAGUGCCCAGGGCGAGACCAAUGUCUAUGUGGAUGACUGGGAGACCGGAGAGAAGUUCACUUGCACCGUCACCCACACCGACCUCCCCUCACCGCUGAAAAAGUCCAUCUUCAAGCCUGAGAAUGGAGUCAAGCGGGCACCAUCUGUCUACCUGAUGACACCGACCCGGGAGGAGCUGAGCCUGCGUGAAUCUGCCUCCCUCACCUGUCUGGUCAAGGGCUUCUCCCCUGCAGAUGCAUUUGUGAGGUGGAUGCACAAGGGACAGCCUGUGUCCCGCCAUCAGUACAUCACCAGUGCCCCGAUCCUGGAACCCCAGGCCGUGGACUCCUACUUCCUCUCCAGCAUCCUCACACUUCAGGGGGUGAAGGGCGAGUCCCACCAAGACUCGGACUGGUGCUCCACCUCUGAGUCCCGGGCACAGGAGUCCAAGGCGCUUCAUCAGCAAUGUCCCUUUUGA
Molecule: non-coding RNA, 1691 nt
Organism: Echinops telfairi (small Madagascar hedgehog)
Lineage: Eukaryota; Metazoa; Chordata; Mammalia; Afrosoricida; Tenrecidae
Source: the annotation of a RefSeq genome assembly